AACGUAGGAGACAAACGUUAUCCGGAGUUACUGGGCGUAAAGGGCGUGUAGGUGGUUGCGGAAGUCUGGCGUGAAAUUUCGGAGCUUAACUCCGAAACUGCAUUCGAUACUGCGGUGCUUGAGGACUGGAGAGGAGACUGGAAUUCAUGGUGUAGCAGUGAAAUGCGUAGAGAUCAUGAGGAAGACCAGUGGCGAAGGCGGGUCUCUGGACAGUUCCUGACACUGAGACACGAAGGCCAGGGGAGCAAACGGG
RNAcentral lists this ribosomal RNA (253 nucleotides) under uncultured bacterium. RNAcentral describes it as "partial 16S ribosomal RNA". It matches the Rfam family "Bacterial small subunit ribosomal RNA", at positions 524 to 776 of the family's 1533-position model. The record is from RNAcentral.